GCCUCAGUGGCCAAGUGGUAAGGCGUCGGUCUCGUAAACCGAAGAUCAUGGGUUCAAACCCCAUCUGAGGCU
RNAcentral lists this transfer RNA (72 nucleotides) under Saccoglossus kowalevskii. RNAcentral's name for it is "tRNA-Thr". It matches the Rfam family "tRNA". From Rfam's summary of the family: Transfer RNA (tRNA) molecules are approximately 80 nucleotides in length. Their secondary structure includes four short double-helical elements and three loops (D, anti-codon, and T loops). The record is from RNAcentral. Lineage: Eukaryota; Metazoa; Hemichordata; Enteropneusta; Harrimaniidae.